Molecule: ribosomal RNA, 378 nt
Filed under: Moebelia rectangula
Lineage: Eukaryota; Metazoa; Arthropoda; Arachnida; Araneae; Linyphiidae
Description: partial 16S ribosomal RNA
Source: RNAcentral
AAAAACAUUUCUUAUAUCCUUUUUAUAAGUAUAAUCUGCUCCAUGAUCAAUAAAUAGCCGCAGAAUUUUAACUGUGCUAAGGUAGCAUAAUCAUUUACCUUUUAAUUAAAGGUUUGCAUGAACGAUUUUACAAUUAAAUUACUUUUUUAUAAAUUCUUAUCUAACUUAAACUAAAAAUAAAAAUGUUUUUAUAAUAAAAAAAGACGAUAAGACCCUAUUGAACUUAACCCAUGUUAAGCUGGGGAAGCUGAUUAAAUAUAAUUUUAAUUAAAAAUUCCAAAUAAACCCCUAAUAAAAUUAUUUUGAACAAGUUACCAUAGGGAUAACAGCGUAAUAUAAUUUUAAAGCUCAUAUUAAAAAUUAAGUUUACGACCUCGA